This 253-nucleotide ribosomal RNA is filed under the name uncultured bacterium. Its description in RNAcentral is "partial 16S ribosomal RNA". It matches the Rfam family "Bacterial small subunit ribosomal RNA", at positions 524 to 776 of the family's 1533-position model. The record is from RNAcentral.
UACAGAGGGGGCAAGCGUUAUUCGGAAUUAUUGGGCGUAAAGGGCGCGUAGGCGGCGAUUCAAGUGACGGGUGAAAUCCCUCGGCUUAACCGAGGAACUGCCCUCCAAACUGUUUGGCUUGAGACCGGGAGAGGUGAGUGGAAUUCCCAGUGUAGCGGUGAAAUGCGUAGAUAUUGGGAGGAACACCAGUGGCGAAGGCGGCUCACUGGACCGGUACUGACGCUGAGGCGCGAAAGCGUGGGGAGCAAACGGG